This 441-nucleotide unclassified non-coding RNA is filed under the name Hevea brasiliensis (rubber tree). The record is from RNAcentral. Lineage: Eukaryota; Viridiplantae; Streptophyta; Magnoliopsida; Malpighiales; Euphorbiaceae.
GCUAGAAAACCCCACUCAGUUGCAUGUAACAUUGUCUUACUAUUUCUUGAGAGUAGCAGCCUUAACUAGACAUUUUAGAUGCCAUCUACACCAGUUCAACAUGUCUAACUCCAUUUACAAGUGUCAAAUGAUGAAUUGAUGAGCCCUAAAAUUUAAAAGUAUUUGCUCAAAUAAGCUUACCAAAAAAGAAAAAUUAUCAACAAAUAAAUUUUGAAUGAUACACAUGCUUACCUAACAGUGUAUACAUUUUUCAAUUAAAAUUUCAAAAAAUAUCAGGUUUAGUUUAUCUUAAUUAAAUUGCUGCUAAAGAGGUAACACUGAAUAACCUACAUCAUGGAAUUAAAAAUUCUGAGUAAAAAGGAAAACAUGAAAACAGAAGAGCAUAUUAUUUUAAAAUGAAUUAGCUGUGCUUGACCAACCAGACAUUUAAGAUUGAAAUUU